Molecule: ribosomal RNA, 538 nt
Filed under: uncultured bacterium
Lineage: Bacteria
Description: bacterial SSU rRNA
Rfam family: Bacterial small subunit ribosomal RNA
Source: RNAcentral
UGGCGGACGGGUGAGUAACGCGUGGGUAACCUGCCUCACACAGGGGGAUAACAGUUGGAAACGGCUGCUAAUACCGCAUAAGCGCACAGUACCGCAUAGUACAGUGUGAAAAACUCUGGUGGUGUGAGAUGGACCCGCGUCUGAUUAGCUGGUUGGCAGGGUAACGGCCUACCAAGGCGACGAUCAGUAGCCGACCUGAGAGGGUGACCGGCCACAUUGGGACUGAGACACGGCCCAAACUCCUACGGGAGGCAGCAGUGGGGGAUAUUGCACAAUGGGGGAAACCCUGAUGCAGCGACGCCGCGUGAGCGAAGAAGUAUUUCGGUAUGUAAAGCUCUAUCAGCAGGGAAGAAGAAAUGACGGUACCUGACUAAGAAGCACCGGCUAAAUACGUGCCAGCAGCCGCGGUAAUACGUAUGGUGCAAGCGUUAUCCGGAUUUACUGGGUGUAAAGGGAGCGCAGGCGGAAGGCUAAGUCUGAUGUGAAAGCCCGGGGCUCAACCCCGGUACUGCAUUGGAAACUGGUCAUCUAGAGUGUC